UACGUAGGGUGCAAGCGUUAAUCGGAAUUACUGGGCGUAAAGCGUGCGCAGGCGGUUGUGCAAGACCGAUGUGAAAUCCCCGGGCUUAACCUGGGAAUGGCAUUGGUGACUGCACGGCUAGAGUGUGUCAGAGGGGGGUAGAAUUCCACGUGUAGCAGUGAAAUGCGUAGAGAUGUGGAGGAAUACCGAUGGCGAAGGCAGCCCCCUGGGAUAACACUGACGCUCACGCACGAAAGCGUGGGGAGCAAACAGG
RNAcentral lists this ribosomal RNA (253 nucleotides) under uncultured bacterium. RNAcentral describes it as "partial 16S ribosomal RNA". It matches the Rfam family "Bacterial small subunit ribosomal RNA", at positions 524 to 776 of the family's 1533-position model. The record is from RNAcentral.